AUUGAACGCUGGCGGCAUGCCUUACACAUGCAAGUCGAACGGUAACAGGUCUUCGGAUGCUGACGAGUGGCGAACGGGUGAGUAAUACAUCGGAACGUGCCCGAUCGUGGGGGAUAACGGAGCGAAAGCUUUGCUAAUACCGCAUACGAUCUACGGAUGAAAGCAGGGGACCGCAAGGCCUUGCGCGGACGGAGCGGCCGAUGGCAGAUUAGGUAGUUGGUAGGAUAAAAGCUUACCAAGCCGACGAUCUGUAGCUGGUCUGAGAGGACGACCAGCCACACUGGGACUGAGACACGGCCCAGACUCCUACGGGAGGCAGCAGUGGGGAAUUUUGGACAAUGGGCGAAAGCCUGAUCCAGCCAUGCCGCGUGCAGGAUGGAGGCCUUCGGGUUGUAAACUGCUUUUGUACGGAACGAAAAGACUCUUUCUAAUAAAGAGGGUCCAUGACGGUACCGUAAGAAUAAGCACCGGCUAACUACGUG
RNAcentral lists this ribosomal RNA (482 nucleotides) under uncultured bacterium. RNAcentral describes it as "partial 16S ribosomal RNA". It matches the Rfam family "Bacterial small subunit ribosomal RNA", at positions 30 to 507 of the family's 1533-position model. The record is from RNAcentral.